Molecule: long non-coding RNA, 494 nt
Organism: Stegostoma tigrinum
Lineage: Eukaryota; Metazoa; Chordata; Chondrichthyes; Orectolobiformes; Stegostomatidae
Exons: 3
Source: RefSeq, a predicted model, not a curated record
UCCUACAAACAAGAAUUGAGAAAAAUGAGCAGCUCUUUACUUUUGCUGGUGUGAGUGAGAAGACAGAGUUGUCUGGGACUGACAGAUCUCCCGGCUCUUAAUGUCAGAAUCUUUGGAUGAGAAUGUAGCUUCUACCCUACUAGGUCGGACCAAAAAUUGGCAACUUCUGCAAAUGGCUCACGGGUUCCGCAAAUUGCUGAUGAGGGCAUCACUGGCUAGGCCAGCAUUUAUUGCCCAUCCCCAAUUGCCCAGAGGACAGUUAUGAGUCAUGGGUAGGCCAGACCAGAUAAGGAUGGUGGUUUCCUUCUCUAAACGACACUAGUGAACCAGAUGGGAUUUUCCAACAAUCAGCAAUGGAUUCAUGGUCAUCAUUAGAAUACUAAAUCCAGGUGUUGCUUGACCUACUGAAUAUUUCGAAUACUUCCUGGUUUUGUUUCAGAUCUCAGACAAAAUCACAUAAUCUGCAUAAAUAAAUAAAUAAAUAAAUAAUCUGC